This 426-nucleotide ribosomal RNA is filed under the name uncultured prokaryote. RNAcentral's name for it is "bacterial SSU rRNA". It matches the Rfam family "Bacterial small subunit ribosomal RNA", at positions 355 to 796 of the family's 1533-position model. The record is from RNAcentral.
UGGGGAAUAUUGGACAAUGGGCGCAAGCGUGAUCCAGCCAUGCAGCGUGAGUGAGGAAGGCUUUUGGGUUGUAAACCUCUUUUCUCAAGGAAGAAGCACUGACGGUACUUGAGGAAUCAGCAUCGGCUAACUCCGUGCCAGCAGCCGCGGUAAUACGGAGGAUGCAAGCGUUAUACGGAAUUAUUGGGCGUAAAGCGACCGCAGGUGGUGCCUCAAGUCAGCUGUCAAAGACCGAAGCUCAACUUCGGGCAGGCAGAGGAAACUGAAGCACUAGAGUACGGUAGGGGUAGAGGGAAUUUCCAGUGUAGCGGUGAAAUGCGUAGAGAUUGGAAAGAACACCAGUGGCGAAGGCGCUCUACUGGACCGUAACUGACACUCAGGGACGAAAGCUAGGGGAGCGAAAGGGAUUAGAUACCCCCGUAGUCC